RNAcentral lists this ribosomal RNA (491 nucleotides) under uncultured bacterium. RNAcentral describes it as "bacterial SSU rRNA". It matches the Rfam family "Bacterial small subunit ribosomal RNA", at positions 903 to 1397 of the family's 1533-position model. The record is from RNAcentral.
AAAGGAAUUGACGGGGACCCGCACAAGCAGCGGAGCAUGUGGUUUAAUUCGAAGCAACGCGAAAAACCUUACCAAGACUUGACAUCGUACGACGACUGUAGAAAUGCAGUUUUCCUUCGGGACGUAUAGACAGGUGGUGCAUGGUUGUCGUCAGCUCGUGUCGUGAGAUGUUGGGUUAAGUCCCGCAACGAGCGCAACCCUUAUCAACAGUUGCCAAUAUUCAGUUAGGAACUCUGUUGAGACUGCCGUGGAUAACACGGAGGAAGGUGAGGAUGACGUCAAAUCAUCAUGCCCCUUACGUCUUGGGCUACACACGUGCUACAAUGGCUAUUACAAAGAGCAGCAAACCGGUAACGGGGAGCAAAUCUCACAAAGAUAGUCUCAGUUCGGAUUGUGGGCUGCAACCCGCCCACAUGAAGUAGGAGUUGCUAGUAAUCCCGAAUCAGCAUGUCGGGGUGAAUGCGUUCCCGGGUCUUGUACACACCGCCCGU